CAAAAUAAAGCUUUGUUAGAUAAGCAUUUCACUUACGUUGAAAAGUUAUUCCGUGCGAGUCGGUUUAUUUUGA
RNAcentral lists this transfer RNA (73 nucleotides) under Neoglyphea inopinata. Its description in RNAcentral is "tRNA-Val". Lineage: Eukaryota; Metazoa; Arthropoda; Malacostraca; Decapoda; Glypheidae. RNAcentral also lists the same sequence under 1 other name. The record is from RNAcentral.